UUUAUGGAGAGUUUGAUCCUGGCUCAGGAUGAACGCUGGCGGCGUGCCUAAUACAUGCAAGUCGAGCGAACGGACGAGAAGCUUGCUUCUCUGAUGUUAGCGGCGGACGGGUGAGUAACACGUGGAUAACCUACCUAUAAGACUGGGAUAACUUCGGGAAACCGGAGCUAAUACCGGAUAAUAUUUUGAACCGCAUGGUUCAAAAGUGAAAGACGGUCUUGCUGUCACUUAUAGAUGGAUCCGCGCUGCAUUAGCUAGUUGGUAAGGUAACGGCUUACCAAGGCAACGAUGCAUAGCCGACCUGAGAGGGUGAUCGGCCACACUGGAACUGAGACACGGUCCAGACUCCUACGGGAGGCAGCAGUAGGG
RNAcentral lists this ribosomal RNA (369 nucleotides) under Staphylococcus aureus. RNAcentral describes it as "bacterial SSU rRNA". It matches the Rfam family "Bacterial small subunit ribosomal RNA", at positions 1 to 359 of the family's 1533-position model. Lineage: Bacteria; Bacillati; Bacillota; Bacilli; Caryophanales; Staphylococcaceae. The record is from RNAcentral.